AGUGAACGCUGGCGGUAGGCCUAACACAUGCAAGUCGAACGGCAGCACAGUAAGAGCUUGCUCUUACGGGUGGCGAGUGGCGGACGGGUGAGGAAUACAUCGGAAUCUACUUUUUCGUGGGGGAUAACGUAGGGAAACUUACGCUAAUACCGCAUACGACCUACGGGUGAAAGCAGGGGAUCUUCGGACCUUGCGCGAUUGAAUGAGCCGAUGUCGGAUUAGCUAGUUGGCGGGGUAAAGGCCCACCAAGGCGACGAUCCGUAGCUGGUCUGAGAGGAUGAUCAGCCACACUGGAACUGAGACACGGUCCAGACUCCUAUGGGAGGCAGCAGUGGGGAAUAUUGGACAAUGGGCGCAAACCUGAUCCAGCCAUACCGCGUGGGUGAAGAAGGCCUUCGGGUUGUAAAGCCCUUUUGUUGGGAAAGAAAAGCAGCAGGUUAAUACCCCGCUGUUCUGACGGUACCCAAAGAAUAAGCACCGGCUAACUUCGUG
Molecule: ribosomal RNA, 492 nt
Filed under: uncultured bacterium
Lineage: Bacteria
Description: partial 16S ribosomal RNA
Rfam family: Bacterial small subunit ribosomal RNA
Source: RNAcentral